This 1945-nucleotide ribosomal RNA is filed under the name human gut metagenome. RNAcentral describes it as "bacterial LSU rRNA". It matches the Rfam family "Bacterial large subunit ribosomal RNA", at positions 1 to 1973 of the family's 2925-position model. The record is from RNAcentral.
GAAAGUAAAUAAGGGCGUAUGGGGAAUGCCUAGGCUCUUGGAGGCGAAGAAAGACGUGGUAAGCUGCGAAAAGCUCCGGGGAUUUGCAAACAAGAUUUGAUCCGGAGAUUUCUGAAUGGGACAACCCGUCAGGUAGAAGACCUGACACAUCGCAAGAUGGGCCAACCCUCUGAACUGAAACAUCUUAGUAGGAGGAGGAAAAGAAAGAAACAUCGAUUUCCUGAGUAGCGGCGAGCGAAAGGGAAAAAGCCUAAACCGGUAUUGUUACGGCAAUGCCGGGGUUGUAGGACUGCAACAUUCAAGUAACAAUGAACUGGAACGAUCUGGAAAGUUCGUCCAUAGAGGGUGAAAGGCCCGUACAGGUAAGUUCGUUAUGCGAUAGCAGUAUCCUGAGUAGGGCGGGACACGAGGAAUCCUGUCUGAAUCUGCCGGGACCACCCGGUAAGGCUAAAUACUCCCAAGAGACCGAUAGUGAACCAGUACCGUGAGGGAAAGGUGAAAAGAACCCCGAACAGGGGAGUGAAAUAGAACCUGAAACCAUACGCUUACAACCGGUCGGAGCAGCUUCGUGCUGUGACGGCGUGCCUAUUGAAUAAUGAGCCUACGAGUUACUAAUCACUGGCGAGGUUAAGUGCACGGAUGCACGGAGCCGAAGCGAAAGCGAGUCUGAACAGGGCGGCUAGUCAGUGGUUGUAGACGCGAAACCUUGCGAUCUACCCUUGAGCAGGUUGAAGGUUGGGUAAAACCAACUGGAGGACCGAACGAAUAAGCGUUGAAAAGCUUCUCGAUGACUUGAGGGUAGGGGUGAAAGGCUAAUCAAGCUGGGAAAUAGCUCGUACUCCCCGAAAUGCCUUUAGGGGCAGCGUUGUAAUAAAGAGUCUACUGGAGGUAGAGCUACUGAUUGGAUGCGGGGGCUUCACCGCCUACCAAAUCCUGACAAACUCCGAAUGCCAGUAGUAUGAUUUACAGCAGUGAGUGACUGGGUGCUAAUGUCCAGUCGCAAAAGAGGAACAACUCAGACCAGCAACUAAGGUCCCGAAGAAUAUGCUAAGUUGAUCUAACGAUGUUUUGUUGCAGAGACAGCUAGGAUGUUAGCUUGGAAGCAGCUAUUCAUUCAAAGAGUGCGUAACAGCUCACUAGUCGAGCGACAGAGCGUGGAUAAUAAACGGGCAUCAAGCAUAUCACCGAAGUUCUGGGCGCGAGAGCGCGGUAGGGGAGCAUUCCAUUCAGCGUCGAAGCAGUUUCGUGAGGAAUUGUGGAGCGUAUGGAAAAGCAAAUGUAGGCAUGAGUAACGAUAAUGCGGGAGAGUAACCCGCACACCGCAAGACCAAGGUUUCCUGAUCAACGCUAAUCGGAUCAGGGUUAGUCGGGUCCUAAGGGUAAGCCGAACGGUGAUCUCGAUGGACAAUCGGUUAAUAUUCCGAUACUAACAUAUACCUCGAUGGAGAGACGAAGGAACGUAAGUGACGCCGCCUGACGGAAUAGGUGGUUAAAGGGCGUAGGUAUAGGGACAGAUUAAGAGUUAGUCCUUGCUGAACCCCGACAGUACAGAGAGCCUACGGGCAAUUUGAUAGUGCACCCAAGUCGACUUCCGAGAAAAUCUUCUAAGUUAUAGUAUAUGUCACCCGUACCGUAAACCGACACAGGUGGUCGAGGAGAGUAUCCUAAGGUGCUCGAGUGAAUCACGGUUAAGGAACUAGGCAAAUUAACCCCGUAACUUCGGGAAAAGGGGUCCCUAUGAAAGUAGGGCGCAGCGAAGAGGUCCAGGCGACUGUUUAUCAAAAACACAGGGCUCUGCAAAUUCGAAAGAAGACGUAUAGGGCCUGACACCUGCCCGGUGCUGGAAGGUUAAGAGGGGAUGUCAUCGCAAGAGAAGCAUUGAAUCGAAGCCCCAGUAAACGGCGGCCGUAACUAUAACGGUCCUAAGGUAGCGAAAUUCCUUGUC